RNAcentral lists this transfer RNA (69 nucleotides) under Botaurus stellaris. RNAcentral describes it as "tRNA-Met". It matches the Rfam family "tRNA". Rfam says of the family: Transfer RNA (tRNA) molecules are approximately 80 nucleotides in length. Their secondary structure includes four short double-helical elements and three loops (D, anti-codon, and T loops). The record is from RNAcentral. Lineage: Eukaryota; Metazoa; Chordata; Aves; Pelecaniformes; Ardeidae.
AGUAAGGUAAGCUAACAAAGCUAUUGGGCCCAUACCCCAAAAAUGACGGUGCAACUCCUUCCCCUACUA